UCAUUAGACUCUUCGUUUGG
RNAcentral lists this small nuclear RNA (20 nucleotides) under Arabidopsis thaliana (thale cress). Its description in RNAcentral is "snRNA_07549". The record is from RNAcentral. Lineage: Eukaryota; Viridiplantae; Streptophyta; Magnoliopsida; Brassicales; Brassicaceae.